AAUUUCUCUGCGGAGGUGCCCUCGUAUCCACCAGCCAUGUUAUCACGGCAGCUCAUUGCAUCAAAACCACCGGGACGUGGCAACUAAACCUGGUCCGAGUUGGAGAUUUGCAUUUAGAUCCGAAGGUCUAUGAUGGCGCAAGCCCAGUGGAUAUCGUCAUUGCGGAAAA
This is a non-coding RNA of Bemisia tabaci, 169 nucleotides long. The record is from RefSeq and is a predicted model, not a curated record. NCBI's taxonomy places the organism in Eukaryota, Metazoa, Arthropoda, Insecta, Hemiptera, Aleyrodidae.